GCCGAAGUGGCGGAAUGGCAGACGCAAGGGACUUAAAAUCCCUCGGAGGAAUACUCCGUAUCGGUUCGAGUCCGAUUUUCGGCACCA
RNAcentral lists this transfer RNA (87 nucleotides) under Clostridiales bacterium. Its description in RNAcentral is "tRNA-Leu". It matches the Rfam family "tRNA". From Rfam's summary of the family: Transfer RNA (tRNA) molecules are approximately 80 nucleotides in length. Their secondary structure includes four short double-helical elements and three loops (D, anti-codon, and T loops). Lineage: Bacteria; Bacillati; Bacillota; Clostridia; Eubacteriales. The record is from RNAcentral.